Molecule: long non-coding RNA, 585 nt
Organism: Panicum virgatum (switchgrass)
Lineage: Eukaryota; Viridiplantae; Streptophyta; Magnoliopsida; Poales; Poaceae
Exons: 3
Source: RefSeq, a predicted model, not a curated record
CAUUUGUCAAUAACUAUUUAUAUUGCAUUAAUGUAUCCAUGACAACUGUUCAAGUUCAUGUGAAUGACCAUCAAAGGGAAUUAAAAGAUCAUAUCGUGGUGACUAUAUGCAGGAGAACACGAGUUUACUUUAGAAAAAGAUUUGGCAUGCUGCCCUACAUUCAGCAAUUUAAAGACUUUCUAUCUCAUUAAUUGGUGUUUGGCUGGUGAUCUCCGUGCACUUCUUUUCUUUCUACGAUGCACACCAAAUUUAGAGAAACUCACUCUUCAACUUUGUCAGAAAGAUAAAUGUGUACUGAAAAUGGAAGACAGCAAUCCAAUUGAACAAUCAUUUUCUCUCGGGCAACUUAGGAGAGUCGAAGUUAAAUGUGAACAGAUUGAUGAAAGGGUUCGGAGAACUUUGAAGAUCUUGAGUUCAAUUGGAACUUGUCUUGAGGAAUUUAACAUCCAGAAGAUCUAGAAUACAGAGUUUCAGUGUAAGUUAGCAACACUUCUCAGUGUUAUAGCUCAGCAAUUCACCAAUAACUGACUCACGAAAUGAACUACUAAAUUAAUCAAAUAUUUUUUAUUGCAUACAAUAAAUUUU